This 246-nucleotide unclassified non-coding RNA is filed under the name Hevea brasiliensis (rubber tree). The record is from RNAcentral. Lineage: Eukaryota; Viridiplantae; Streptophyta; Magnoliopsida; Malpighiales; Euphorbiaceae.
GCGCCUUUGUAAUCCAUGUGCGCCUUGUGUAGUACUGCCAAGCCCUACCCAAGCCUUUUCCUUAGCUCUCUUGAUUUUUCUUUUCCAUGAUUUUAAUUUCUUUUUAUUUAAAUAGAGAUGGUGGAAAAUCCGAUGAACAGAUUCUUCGCAUUAAUAAUAAUAGAAAAUAAUCUAACAGUAGUUUAACCAUCCAGCCAAGACAAUUAAAUAAAUUCCAAAACAAAAAAUACAAAAGAUCAUAACAAA